AAUAGUGUAGUAUAUUAGUACACUAGUUUUGUAAACUAGUAGUUAAUCUAUUU
This 53-nucleotide transfer RNA is filed under the name Longidorus vineacola. Its description in RNAcentral is "tRNA-Thr". The record is from RNAcentral. Lineage: Eukaryota; Metazoa; Nematoda; Enoplea; Dorylaimida; Longidoridae.